Molecule: long non-coding RNA, 188 nt
Organism: Phodopus roborovskii (desert hamster)
Lineage: Eukaryota; Metazoa; Chordata; Mammalia; Rodentia; Cricetidae
Exons: 3
Source: RefSeq, a predicted model, not a curated record
CGGGCUGCGGCCGGUGGGCGGCAUGGCCCGAGGAAAUCAAAGAGAACUUGCCCGCCAGAAAAAUAUGAAAAAAACCCAGGAAAUUAGCAAAGGAAAAAGAAAAGAGGAUAGCUUGACUACUUCUCAGAGAAAGCAGAGGUAAUCUCUUGUGGCUCCUAUAAAACUGUAAGAACUUCACUAGAGAAAAU